GCUGGGCAUGGUAGUGUAUGCCUGCAAUCCCAGCGGCUUGGGAGGCUGAGGCAGGAGGAUCAUGAGUUCAAAGCCAGCCUCUA
RNAcentral lists this small RNA (83 nucleotides) under Marmota monax (woodchuck). Lineage: Eukaryota; Metazoa; Chordata; Mammalia; Rodentia; Sciuridae. The record is from RNAcentral.